Apis florea (little honeybee) is the source of this 511-nucleotide long non-coding RNA. The record is from RefSeq and is a predicted model, not a curated record. NCBI's taxonomy places the organism in Eukaryota, Metazoa, Arthropoda, Insecta, Hymenoptera, Apidae.
UCGCGGCAAGUUUUCUUCAGCUUUUGUAUCGAUUUCUUUGUCGACUCAGUACCGCGUAACUCCUUCACCACAGUGGAACCCAGAUACUACGCGAUUUUUGAACAGAAAAAAAACCGUGCCUCUAGAAUCUACAAGAAUUAUGUAUCAAAGAAAACAAGCGAUCAUCAAGUUGAACAAUAUGAACUUCCAAAUGAAGAAAGCGUUAAAUGCUCGUUUAUUGCGCUAGAGGUUACACCAAAGAAGAUAAUAUUCUGAAUGAAAUGUGUUAUUAGCUACACCCACGCUAUAAUUAUGAAUUAUAUUAAAAGAAGGAUUUUAUUAAGAAGAAAUUUAUUAAAAAUCUAUGAAACAUCGAGUAAAGCUUCAAUUUCUUCAAUUACACUCUUUCGCUGAAAAUAUAAGAAGUUACCGGCAUAAGAGCUAUCAAGAAUUCGGCCAUUUCAUCUACGACGAUCUAUAUAAAUUAUCCUUAAUAACCAAAUAAUAGAAUCCAUUCACUACAUAAAGCAGU